CAUGAAUUUUAUGGGCUGUGGUAAACAAGUGUUGAUGUUUGCUGAAUUAAAACUCAAUUUAAGUGUAACCCUGUUCUCUUGCCAGCUGGGCUCAUGUGGCACUGCUCAGCCGGCUUGUGGAGACUGCCUGCAGUUCUAUUUAUUCAGCAAAAUAGCUUGGCGAAAAUGCAGCAUCCUGUCAGCUUACUGUGAGGACAGAGAAGAAAGCCGUGAAACAAGCACAGAACUUAAAUACAGUCGCAAGGAUGCCCUUCAGAAUGAGAUGCUGGCUACAGCUAGCAGCUAGGCUGUGAGUCCUGGUGUGAUGAGCUGCGGUACGACAUACCAUGGGAGGCCAGGCUGUCUCGUGGGCACGGACAAGUUUCCUUCCUGAGCAACUCUUCCCGCCUGCCUGCCCAAGGAGGAGCCCUGGCGUGGGAACUCUCCUGGCAUGAGGAUUACAGCUCCUGGGAGGCAGCUGCCCUCCAGAGCUGGCGGAAAGCCCCCUGGCCUGCACCCUGCAGGACACAGCUGUGCUGAAAGGGGGCACAGGACAGCCCUGCAGCUCACCCCUCACCCCAGAGCGCCGUGGCACGAGCCUCGGGGCGACAGCACACGCAGCGACAGCUAGGGCAUGGCCUGCAGCGGUUUUAUCGCUCUGACCGUCCUGGGCAAUCGCAGACUGUAACAGCCCUACAGUGGCUUUCUUGCAUGUUGGAGAGCCAGGAUCCAGGGAGCAGCAGAGAUUUUUAGACCCUUAUUGCCCUCCUCACCGUUCCCUCACUCCCGCGCACCCAGUUUGCUUGCGGUGCGGCGAAGGGUACCCAGGGCCCCUCGCCGUAGCCCUGUGGCAGGGGAAGCUGCCAUGGCCUCGGGGCUGUCCUGGCUGCUCACAGGCUGCGUGUGAGUCUGGAGCAACAGGGGCCACCUGGGUGCUGCCAAGGAGCCUUCAGGAAUGCGAAAAUCCUGGGGAACAAAGGGCCUCGGAAACCCGGAUGGGAAGCGAAGAUCAACGGGGGUGACCUGUCUCGAGGGGCUGAGCUCCCGCAGGAGGGAGAGAGGUAGGUCUGGUGGCAGGAGCCAGAACAACCUGUUGGUGUUACUUCAGCGAGUUGGUCCAUUUAUUGGUUUGCUUUGCUCUGUGACUGCCAAGUGGACUUUUUUAUCUGUGGUCCUGUUGCUGUUGGGCCUUGCCUCGUGGAGUUACUUUGGUCCCAGCUGCUGAGAUGCCAGCUGUGUUUUCCUGCAUAUUGAAAGAUUAAUUUGCUUUUGCUUGCAGAAAUUGACCAAGCAAAAACAGAGGAGAA
RNAcentral lists this long non-coding RNA (1286 nucleotides) under Struthio camelus australis. RNAcentral's name for it is "lncRNA (ENSSCUG00000015849.1)". The record is from RNAcentral. Lineage: Eukaryota; Metazoa; Chordata; Aves; Struthioniformes; Struthionidae.